AUGUUUUGUUGAGGGACAUGGUUUAGUGAGAACCGUUGGUGAAGGGUGAACGGUUGGACUGGAUGAUCCUGUGGGUCUUUUCCAACCUUAGCGAUUCUAUGAUUCUAUGAUUCUUCUGAAGACUGUUGCUCUAUAUUCUUUAGAUAUAACAUUUAUAUGAACUGUCUUGUUGUGUAAUCCACUGUAAGUACAUGUAACCCCUGACAGCAUGAAAGCCAGGUCUGGGCAGAAGGCUAAUGGAAGCUUGAUUGCAGCCUUGAAAGUGAGGGAACUAAAAUGAUUUAGAGAGCUCGUGCUGGUGCAUUACAUGCCAUGGGAAUCAUUCUGUUAGUACAUGGUACAUAAAAGUCUCCCUAAAAAUAGAGAUAAAAGCUAUCAGCACAUGCUCUUGUUUACUGAGCAUGGCUCAGAAAAAUUGGCACUACCUCGAUUCCGUAUCUUUCCUGAUUAAUUUAGCAAAAGAUACAUUCCAAAUAUUGAAACCCUUUCACUGGGAAGACAGAUUGAGCAUCUCCACAUUCCUUAUACAGAAUUCAUUUUCCCUUUUCUGGACCAUUGUCAACUCUCAGUUAUUUUCUGUGACUUGUAUGUAAUCUAUCCACGAGAAAGACCUGUCAACCUGCCAGUUAGUUAUACCUAAUCCAAUAGACAAGGUCUCAUUCAGGGCAGGAAGAGGGAAGCGUGAAAGUGUAAGGAUCAGAUUUAAGAUCUAUCAUGUGAGUUAAAGCUUCAGCCUUACCAGAUCAAGAGAGGUGAUUUUUCACAUCUAUUAUGCACUGGUGAGGCCACAGCUGAAGUUCUGUGUGCUGUUCUGGGGUCCCCAGAGGGACAUGCAUCUACUGGAGGGAGACCAAUGAAAGGCCACCAAGGUGAUUAAGGGACAGCAGCACCUCUCCUUUGAGGAAAGGCUGAGAGACCUGGGACUUUUCAGCCUAGAGAAAGAUCAGGGGAGAUCUCACCAAUGUCUAUAAAUACCUAAAGAAGGGUGCAAAGGGGCCAGGCUCUUUUCAGUGGAGCACAGUGCUAGGCCAAGAGCCAAUGGGCACGAACUGGAACACAGAAGGUUCUGUUUGAACACCAGGAAGUACUUCUCUGCUGUGCAUAUUUUCCAGAGAGGCUGUGGAGUCUCCUCCUUGCAGACCUUCAAAAGCCACCUGGACGUGAGCCUGGGCAGCCUGCUCUGGGUGUCCCUGCUUGAACAGGGGGUAAGAUCAGAUGGACCCAGUGGUGCCUGCCAACAUCAGCCAUCCUGUGAUUCUGUAAUUUUGUGAUUCACUUUUACUAUUAUUCUUCCAGUCUGGAUCACACAGCAGUUGAUUCACAACUGUAAGCACACAAAACACCAUCAGUUACCAAAUCAAGGUCACUGAUUUCAGCAGUGGUGGUGUGUUUCAGGAAUCAGCUGCACACAUAUUAGGAAAAUAUCUGACCGUUCUCUUCGACCCUUAAGGAAAAGUGCAGUUCAGUCUGUAUAUUCUCUCCCAGUUACCUUGGUUAUGCAGAGAACACAAGGGAAGAGGAAAGAGAACAGCCAAGCUCUCAAGUUAGAAUGUCCUCUCCUAGAUCAAAUGAAGUUGACUCUUCCAUCUGGCAUGCAGCAGGAGCCACACUCUUACCCUCUCAGGUCUUCUGCUUUACUAAACAGCAAUAUAGAAACAGAGAGGCCUGCAUACGACUCAGUUCAAUUUAAGUAAAAGGAGGAAUGUACUGAAUAUCAGUAAUUCACGGUAAGGAAAUUGACGUUAAGAUUGGACAGUGAUGGCUCCCGUGUAAACAUUGAUGGUAGCAGUUUACUACCAACUCAUUUCUGGAAAUGAUUUAGUAUGUUACCCAUGCCUCCAAGCCUUUACACCAUUGCAUAGGAUACACUGAUGUGGAGGAAAAACAGAAAUAACUUUUCAAACCUAAGUAUUCCACAGCAGCCAUUCAUGCUGUGCCUGCAGUUUUUUACAAUGGGAAAACAAGUUGACACAAUUUCUUACUGUAUUUUUGGCUCGAGGAUCCCUUAUGUUGUUGAGGCAAGCUUGCAUUUAUUGAUAACUUUUCUAAACAAGCAAAAUUAAAGGAACAAAGUGCUUUCAAUUUCACAUGACUAGCCAGUAGCUCAACUCACAAAGAAGAAAUAUAAAACUCAAGCAUUUUAGGAUUGCUCCUGGGAUGCUGAAACUGUGAUCAUGUUUUACAUACAUGUAGCUGAAAAUCAAAAUUUUCCUUAUUCUCCUGCUGCCCAUGAGAUCUCUUAUGUUUUCUUUUCUCUGGUCCAUUUAGCUUAGAUUGACUUUCUUUUUCCUUCAGGUCCCUCCAGCACAAUAGAUGUACAAGUGUUUAACACAGGGGUGUAUUCCUCUGUUUUAAUGCUUUCCUCUUGGCACAGCCAUUAAGGGAUUGAUGCGACAUCUCCAAAUACAGCAACAAUCCUUCCAUCAGCUUCAGAAGGCCUCAGGGGAGGCUUGUGGGCUUUAUAUUCUGUUUUUUUUUCCUACUCCGCUGGUCCUAACCUUUCACAGGGUUUGCUCUUGCUAUGAAGAAAUAUUCAAAGAUGCUUUACCAGAGCAGUGUGGCAGGAACUUAAUGAUGAAAUUAUGUCUUCACUAGCUGUGUGAAGGUAAGGCUCUGGAUUUUGUCACUUCUGCUGCAUGCCUUGGUCUACAGGCCCAAACAACCUACAGAACCCUUCCCCCACCUCAGAACCAAAGGGCUUCUCAAGUACAUUACUCUUCAUAACACCUGGGGAAGACAAAUAAAACCAACACACGCAUGUAGCACAUACAUAUGAAUAUGAGUGUACUUCCAUCAGCUGUUGGAGGUAAGAGGUGCCUAUGAGACCUUCAAAUGAUAAGGGAAUAUCCUUUGGUAUCAGUUCUUGGCUGCUACCGAAGCCUGCUGGGCUAGCUCCUCCGAUUACAGCACACCCCUCUUGCUUCUCUCUGCUUGGUUUCAGAGGCUGGGCUUUUGCAGGAGCCAGCAGCUGCACAGAACUCGUAGUUGCAUAAGACCUUAAGAAAUACCUAGAACAUUUGGAUGACUGCACGCCUUAGGGCCUGGGCCCUAAGAGAUGAUUGAAAAUGAUUCCUCAACCUGUCCUUGAUUUAUUUGGCAGUCUGACUUGCUAACGCUUUCCCCUGUAUUUUUCCUCUCUGUGACAGGAACAAACUGUGGGUCACAUCCCAGACCGCCUGUCCUGCUGUGCUCCAAGACUUGUGAUGGGGGAGGAAGAGAAGACAUGCAGGUGUGGCAAUCAUAGGGUUCCCCACGUGUCAGACCUGGAGUACGAUCACCUCAUUAACAACACAGUGGCCUUUAAGGAGCAGAUUAUAGUGGUCUGUGUCUCAUCUUCACAAAGAUCCCAGUGAAGAUGAAAUAGAGCAGCUGUAUGCCUUGUGCUUAGGUGGGUUUUAUAAGUAGACUGUUUUUCCUACAUGUGGUAGAACACUUCAGGAUCCUUUUUGGAAUGAUCAUCUGUUUAUCUGUUUGCUAAAAUAUUGCUCACUAAUUGUAGGGGCAGAAGAUUUCUGAGAGACAGAAUUCCAAAGGAUUAGGACAAAUCAAUAGAGAUGUUGCACACUGAGUAGCUACCACUCCUGUUCUCAUAACCAGGCAUCUAAUUUUAUAAAUCAGAGGAGCAGUUUCUUCUGAGGGAAAUAUACUCUCAUACAGAAACUGAGAAAUUUAGAAGCCUCCGUCACCAAAUGUAUACUGCGAAGAUCCAUUGCUACCUGUUUUGAAAGAGAAAAACAAUGCAAUUGAGCUCUUAAGGACUUGUUUGGAAGGAACUGCUGGCUUAAUUGGUCAUGCAAAUCUUUCCAUCUACUUAAUGAGACCAUUGUACCUCCCUUGUUUUUUCAGGGUUGUCUGGAUUACUUUCGCCUCCUCAAAUAGGACAUCACCUCUGCUAAUGCAUUUACAGAUCAUAAAGGUUCCUUGUUGGAGAAGAGACAUAAUGUAGCUCCUGGCAUGUUUUUAGUAUGUUAAAAUUAUUACAGUCAAUGA
Long non-coding RNA from Gallus gallus (chicken), 3990 nucleotides. RefSeq lists it as uncharacterized. NCBI's taxonomy places the organism in Eukaryota, Metazoa, Chordata, Aves, Galliformes, Phasianidae. The transcript has 2 exons. The record is from RefSeq and is a predicted model, not a curated record.